This is a long non-coding RNA of Hyla sarda, 751 nucleotides long. RefSeq lists it as uncharacterized. The transcript has 4 exons. Lineage: Eukaryota; Metazoa; Chordata; Amphibia; Anura; Hylidae. The record is from RefSeq and is a predicted model, not a curated record.
CAAAAACACAAAUGCAACAAUGUUUUACCUACAGAUUUCACCUUUUUGCUUUGCAAUGCAGAAGAAACCCAUGACCGAGCAUGAUGGGAACAUGAAAAAAACAGCAUGUCCCCAAAUGAGUUCUACCCAAUAAAGGCUCUUAGAUCCUGAGGAACAGCAAAGCACAGACAUCACAGAUCCUGUGUCCAGUACACCUGGAGGCCAUAAAGCCUGCACACUAGCUACAUUGUAAAGGAUCAGAAUCCGCUGACACAGUGAAGAGCCGUCUCGGCAUCAAGUUAUGCAGCGAGAAGAUUUAGCUGGACCUGGCGAAGUAAAGAGAAAGCUCCAGGACUGGACAACUGAAGACUAACCCUGGCUAGAUGUUUGAAUUGUGAGCAAAACUAGACAUCUCGUAGAUGACGUUUAAGAAAGUCAGAACCUAAUUUGCCAACUGACAAUACAAUGAUGUAAUAAUUCUUAGGAUUAUCAUUUCUACCUUUAGGAGGAAAUAUGAGCUGAUCCACCUUGUGUAUAACCUGAAUCCUUGUGAGCUCAUUUAUGCUAAUCUGUAUAUUUUGUUUGAACAUCUGUAGAUUGAUUUAUGACAUCUCGUUCCUUCCCCAUAAAGGAAGCAGUUCAAAAAGCAGGAGUUUAAGUAGAUUUGUACUUUGUUACAAGUUGAUGAAGCAUUCUGCCAAACAGUUGAAUCUCAGGUCUUAGGUACAUUAGUUUUUAUUGUUCUUUUCCCAAAAAUUCAAAUGUGAACUGU